RNAcentral lists this ribosomal RNA (1049 nucleotides) under Salmonella enterica. Its description in RNAcentral is "partial 23S ribosomal RNA". It matches the Rfam family "Bacterial large subunit ribosomal RNA", at positions 711 to 1757 of the family's 2925-position model. The record is from RNAcentral. Lineage: Bacteria; Pseudomonadati; Pseudomonadota; Gammaproteobacteria; Enterobacterales; Enterobacteriaceae. RNAcentral also lists the same sequence under 1 other name.
AGACCCGAAACCCGGUGAUCUAGCCAUGGGCAGGUUGAAGGUUGGGUAACACUAACUGGAGGACCGAACCGACUAAUGUUGAAAAAUUAGCGGAUGACCUGUGGCUGGGGGUGAAAGGCCAAUCAAACCGGGAGAUAGCUGGUUCUCCCCGAAAGCUAUUUAGGUAGCGCCUCGUGAAUUCAUCUCCGGGGGUAGAGCACUGUUUCGGCUAGGGGGCCAUCCCGGCUUACCAACCCGAUGCAAACUGCGAAUACCGGAGAAUGUUAUCACGGGAGACACACGGCGGGUGCUAACGUCCGUCGUGAAGAGGGAAACAACCCAGACCGCCAGCUAAGGUCCCAAAGUCAUGGUUAAGUGGGAAACGAUGUGGGAAGGCCCAGACAGCCAGGAUGUUGGCUUAGAAGCAGCCAUCAUUUAAAGAAAGCGUAAUAGCUCACUGGUCGAGUCGGCCUGCGCGGAAGAUGUAACGGGGCUAAACCAUGCACCGAAGCUGCGGCAGCGACACUCAGGUGUUGUUGGGUAGGGGAGCGUUCUGUAAGCCUGUGAAGGUGUGUCGUGAGGCAUGCUGGAGGUAUCAGAAGUGCGAAUGCUGACAUAAGUAACGAUAAAGCGGGUGAAAAGCCCGCUCGCCGGAAGACCAAGGGUUCCUGUCCAACGUUAAUCGGGGCAGGGUGAGUCGACCCCUAAGGCGAGGCCGAAAGGCGUAGUCGAUGGGAAACGGGUUAAUAUUCCCGUACUUGGUGUUACUGCGAAGGGGGGACGGAGAAGGCUAUGUUGGCCGGGCGACGGUUGUCCCGGUUUAAGCGUGUAGGUGUGUGUUCCAGGUAAAUCCGGUUCACUUUAACACUGAGGCGUGAUGACGAGGCACUACGGUGCUGAAGCAACAAAUGCCCUGCUUCCAGGAAAAGCCUCUAAGCAUCAGGUAACAUCAAAUCGUACCCCAAACCGACACAGGUGGUCAGGUAGAGAAUACCAAGGCGCUUGAGAGAACUCGGGUGAAGGAACUAGGCAAAAUGGUGCCGUAACUUCGGGAGAAGGCACGCUGACAC